GGUAUAGCGUACUCGACGUUCGAAGCGUAUAAGCCACAAUUUUAUAGUCGAUUCAAUUGCUUAAUUUAACUUUAAACAGGAAUAUUAUUUUUCCUCACUAGGAGCGCAUUUCAUUAAAUUGUAUCUAUAUAUAUGUUUGCUGUUGUUGUUGUUGCUGUUGAGUUUAUAAAAUAUUUAAGAACAACCGUGGUGAAUCUGUAGACUAUCUCUCUACCAUUGAACUUCUCGAAUACAAGCUUCACGAAGAAUAAGAAGAAAAAAACGCUCAAACAAGUUAUAAAAAGCUACAUUUGAGUUAAUCAAUUUUAAUGCCAGCUGUAUGCAUUGAUCUCGUUGCAAAGACUCUCGACAGUCAUAAAUUCGUGGAAUGUAGGCGUGAAGGAGUUAUAUUUAAACAAAACCACAACAACAACAAAAAGAUCACAACACACUAUCAAUUGAAUCACGCAUUCUUUGCAUCAAUAAAUGCGGUGGU
Bradysia coprophila is the source of this 475-nucleotide long non-coding RNA. Lineage: Eukaryota; Metazoa; Arthropoda; Insecta; Diptera; Sciaridae. The record is from RefSeq and is a predicted model, not a curated record.